Molecule: long non-coding RNA, 1072 nt
Filed under: Struthio camelus australis
Lineage: Eukaryota; Metazoa; Chordata; Aves; Struthioniformes; Struthionidae
Description: lncRNA (ENSSCUG00000014025.1)
Source: RNAcentral
UUUUUCAAGGUUUGAUUACAUGGCCAAAAGUGAAAACAACACACGUGGGAAAAAAGCAUGGAGCAUAUGCCACAGAUGUGCCAAGGAGAGGAGGUUUCCCCGAAGCCAGUUCCUCCCGGAAGCCACAGGUGUUUCUGAGCAGACCCAGGAUCUAAGCCCUGUCCUGUUUCAAUAUCUGAAGAAAGCUAUGUACCAAGUUCCGUCCAAGAUGGAUAAUCCAAACCUGAGAUUCUCCAAACCAUGAUUACUUCACAGGACUUUUUUCUCUUCAGGCCCCUGAGCAAACCAGCAGGUGCACCACAAGAUAGAGAGAUGUACUUGGUACAGAGAAGAUCUGGGUUCCCUGACUGGUGCGUGUGUGAGGCUGCUUCCAGGAACUGCAGGAAUAGACCUUUCCCAACCGCAGGAAUAGACCUUUCCCAUAAGCAAGUUGUCCUGUUGAUCCCGAGUCCAAGAAUGGCCCUGUCUUCCCAGGUAGAAGAGUACUUAUGUGCAAAGUCCCUGUUGAGGAUGAUCCUGGGAAUAUUUGAACUCCAAACUAUGCAGAGGAAUUGUUUGGGAGUGCUGGCUGGCAUGGACCAAAAGUCUGCCCAGGAGCACUCUGAAGGGGAGCUGAAUGGACAAUUGCAUUCCGUGCUUGGAAAUGGCUCUGGGCACCAUCCAAUUUACUAGCAUAGGCAUAACCUCAUUGUCUAAAGCAUCUUUGCUUCAGUCUUCACUGCUAAGGCCAGCCCUCAGGAAUUCCAGACCUUGGAGACAAGAGAGGAAGUCUGGAGAAAGGAAGACUCUCCCUUGGUGGAGGAGGAUCAGGUUAGAGAUCUUUUGUCCAAACCUGACAUCCAUAAAUCCAUGGGCCCCCAUGGGAUGCACCCACGAGUGCUGAGGGAGCUGGCGGAUGUUAUCGCUAGGCCACUCUCCAUCAUCUCAGAAAGGUCCUGGAGAUCAGGAGAGGUGCCUGAGGACUGGAAGAAAGCCAAUGUCACCCCGGUCUUCCAAAAGGGUAAGAAGGAGGAGCCAGGAAGAGACAGGUCUCUCAGCCUCACCUCCAUCCCUGGCAAGGUGAUGGAACAGC